Molecule: long non-coding RNA, 213 nt
Filed under: Nicotiana benthamiana
Lineage: Eukaryota; Viridiplantae; Streptophyta; Magnoliopsida; Solanales; Solanaceae
Description: long non-coding RNA (NBEN_LNC000438)
Source: RNAcentral
AUCGGUGCUUCAACUUGCUCUCACCCCAAUUUAUCACUAUCACUUACACCAAGUGAUAUAACACGAAAAAUCUAUCGAAUAAAACUUUUGUGAGUGAAAGAAACAAAAAAGAAAUUGGAUGAAGUGAGGAAUUCUCAGAAUCUUGCACACUUUGAAGGCAGACCUGUCUCAUGGUUAACUGCUACUACCUCUGUUGGAUUGCAUUUAAGAAUA